This 253-nucleotide ribosomal RNA is filed under the name uncultured bacterium. Its description in RNAcentral is "partial 16S ribosomal RNA". It matches the Rfam family "Bacterial small subunit ribosomal RNA", at positions 524 to 776 of the family's 1533-position model. The record is from RNAcentral.
UACGUAGGGGGCGAGCGUUGCCCGGAGUUACUGGGCGUAAAGCGCACGCAGGCGGUCUGCUAAGUUUGGAGUGACAGUUGGUGGCUUAACUGCCAAAGUGCUUCGAAAACUGACAGACUUGAGGGCCUCAGAGGGACACGGAAUUCCGGGUGGAGUGGUGAAAUGCGUAGAGAUCCGGAGGAACACCAAAGGCGAAGGCAGUGUCCUGGGGAGUACCUGACGCUCAGGUGCGAAAGCCAGGGGAGCGAACGGG